AGUGAACGCUGGCGGUAGGCCUAACACAUGCAAGUCGAACGGCAGCACAGUAAGAGCUUGCUCUUACGGGUGGCGAGUGGCGGACGGGUGAGGAAUACAUCGGAAUCUACUUUUUCGUGGGGGAUAACGUAGGGAAACUUACGCUAAUACCGCAUACGACCUACGGGUGAAAGCAGGGGAUCUUCGGACCUUGCGCGAUUGAAUGAGCCGAUGUCGGAUUAGCUAGUUGGCGGGGUAAAGGCCCACCAAGGCGACGAUCCGUAGCUGGUCUGAGAGGAUGAUCAGCCACACUGGAACUGAGACACGGUCCAGACUCCUACGGGAGGCCGCAGUGGGGAAUAUUGGACAAUGGGCGCAAGCCUGAUCCAGACAUACCGCGUGGGUGAAGAAGGCCUUCGGGUUGUAAAACCCUUUUGUUGGGAAAGAAAAGCAGCAGGUUAAUACCCCGCUGUUCUGACGGUACCCAAAGAAUAAGCACCGGCUAACUUCGUG
RNAcentral lists this ribosomal RNA (492 nucleotides) under uncultured bacterium. Its description in RNAcentral is "partial 16S ribosomal RNA". It matches the Rfam family "Bacterial small subunit ribosomal RNA", at positions 29 to 507 of the family's 1533-position model. The record is from RNAcentral.